Molecule: small nuclear RNA, 107 nt
Organism: Ictidomys tridecemlineatus (thirteen-lined ground squirrel)
Lineage: Eukaryota; Metazoa; Chordata; Mammalia; Rodentia; Sciuridae
Source: Ensembl
GCACUCAUUUCAGCAGCACAUACACUAUAUUUGGAAUAAUAUAGACAUAAUGAGCAUGUCCCUUUCACAAAGAUGCCCUGAAAACUUGUGAAACAUUCCAUUUUCUU